AGUGAACGCUGGCGGUAGGCCUAACACAUGCAAGUCGAACGGCAGCACAGUAAGAGCUUGCUCUUACGGGUGGCGAGUGGCGGACGGGUGAGGAAUACAUCGGAAUCUACUUUUUCGUGGGGGAUAACGUAGGGAAACUUACGCUAAUACCGCAUACGACCUACGGGUGAAAGCAGGGGAUCUUCGGACCUUGCGCGAUUGAAUGAGCCGAUGUCGGAUUAGCUAGUUGGCGGGGUAAAGGCCCACCAAGGCGACGAUCCGUAGCUGGUCUGAGAGGAUGAUCAGCCAACCUGGAACUGAAACACGGUCCAGACCCCUACGGGGGGCAGCGGGGGGGAAUUUUGGAAAAGGGGGGCAAGCCUGAACCAGCCAUACCGGGGGGGGGAAGAAGGCCUUCGGGUUUUAAAGCCCUUUUUUUGGGAAAAAAAAGCAGCAGGUUAAUACCCCGCUGUUCUGACGGUACCCAAAGAAUAAGCACCGGCUAACUUCGU
RNAcentral lists this ribosomal RNA (491 nucleotides) under uncultured bacterium. RNAcentral's name for it is "partial 16S ribosomal RNA". It matches the Rfam family "Bacterial small subunit ribosomal RNA", at positions 29 to 506 of the family's 1533-position model. The record is from RNAcentral.